Molecule: long non-coding RNA, 662 nt
Filed under: Capsicum annuum
Lineage: Eukaryota; Viridiplantae; Streptophyta; Magnoliopsida; Solanales; Solanaceae
Description: long non-coding RNA (CANN_LNC006035)
Source: RNAcentral
UCUCUACACAUUUUUACAAUAAAGAAGAGACUAUCAAAUUAAAUAAUAACUAUAAAAAAAAAUAAUAUACUCAGAGAAAUCUCAUGGGAAAUGUUUCAAAUAAUAAAUGCAUGACAAAAGUCAAAGAAUAACACAUAUACACAAGUUAUCACAGAAUGAUCAGUAGAACUAUCUGUUCAUAAUAUAUAUCUCAUUGCUAUUAAAAUUAAUUAUAAUAUAUAUAUAUAUAUAUAUAUAUAUAUACACACACACAUUCACACACACUAAAAGUAUCUUUUUCAAGUAUAUAACAUUGUAGGUUGAAAUUUCUUUUCUUCUUUGUGUGUUUAUUUCUUUAUUUCUUGAAUCUCUUUAGUAAAAUUAUGGCGCUAUCACUGUUUAUAGGCAUAAAAAUUAGUAUUCCCCAUAGAAGCAACUUCUUAGUUUGAUAGGCCAAAUAUAUAGAAAGAUAUUAAAUCGCAACUUCUAUAUCUAAAGUUAACUAUAUAAAUAGUAAAUGAGAGAACAAUAAGAGAACACCAGAAAUUUAUGAGGUUUGACAAAAUUUUAUUUUCUACUUCAAUGAUACUACCAAUUGAAUUUUAUUUCACUCCAAAAAAUACAAGUGCAAUACUAUAAGAGAGAAAAGAGAGAUGCAAUGGUCUUAGAGGUGAGAAGGCAAG